AGUAACUGCGAGUGAAGAGGGAAAAGCUCAAAUUUAAAAUCUGGCAGUCUCUGGCUGUCCGAGUUGUAAUUUAGAGAAGUGUUACCCGCGUUGGACCGUGUAUAAGUCUCCUGGAAUGGAGCGUCAUAGAGGGUGAGAAUCCCGUCUUUGACACGGACUACCAAGGCUUUGUGGUGCGCUCUCGAAGAGUCGUGUUGUUUGGGAAUGCAGCACUAAAUGGGUGGUAAAUUCCAUCUAAAGCUAAAUAUUGGCGAGAGACCGAUAGCGAACAAGUACCGUGAGGGAAAGAUGAAAAGAACUUUGGAAAGAGAGUUAAACAGUACGUGAAAUUGCUGAAAGGGAAACGCUUGAAGUCAGUCGCGUUGGCUAGGGAUCAACCUUGCUUUUGUGGGGUGUACUUCCUAGUUAACGGGUCAACAUCAGUUUUGACUGCUGGAAAAAGGCUAGAGAAAUGUGACAACUCCGGUUGUGUUAUAGUCUCUAGUCAUAUACAGUGGUUGGGACUGAGGAACUCAGCACGCCGCAAGGCCGGGUUUUUAACCACGUUCGUGCUUAGGAUGUUGGCAUAAUGGCUUUAAGCGACCCGUCUUGAAACACGGACCAAGGAGUCUAACAUGCCUGCGAGUAUUUGGGUGGAAAACCCGAGUGCGUAAUGAAAGUGAAAGUUGAGAUCCCUGUCGUGGGGAGCAUCGACGCCCAUACCUGAACUUCUGUGACGGAUAUGCGGUUGAGCAUGUAUGUUGGGACCCGAAAGAUGGUGAACUAUGCCUGAAUAGGGUGAAGCCAGAGGAAACUCUGGUGGAGGCUCGUAGCGAUUCUGACGUGCAAAUCGAUCGUCGAAUUUGGGUAUAGGGGGCGAAAGACUAAUCGAACCAUCUAGUAGCUGGUCC
Molecule: ribosomal RNA, 890 nt
Filed under: Marasmiellus sp.
Lineage: Eukaryota; Fungi; Basidiomycota; Agaricomycetes; Agaricales; Omphalotaceae
Description: partial large subunit ribosomal RNA
Rfam family: Eukaryotic large subunit ribosomal RNA
Source: RNAcentral